CCGAGAAUUUCACUGAGAAUAAAAUGAGGAGAAUAGCAUCCCGGCUCGGCUCCGUCCCGUGCAUCUCUACCCACCAAUUGAUCUCUCUCUCAAACCCUCCACGCACAGUCCCACCACCACCCGCCGUCGCUUAGCCAUUCCACCGCCUGUCGCCGUCCUUGCCGUGGAAACCUGUUGGGUUACAUUCUUCGACUAACCGCCGUUUUCUGACCAUUUGCGGCGGUCCUGUUCGCCGUGUCUGAUGGUCUUCUCGUUUACAACAAAACCUCGUCAGAACGUCGUGCAUUAUCGGUGACUGGUCGCUGCCGCUGGUAAAUCUCAAACGUCCUCGUAAUUUUGCUGCGUUAUUCUCUUUCUCAGAUCCACCUUUGCUAUAGCGCCGCUAGUCGCCCACGACCGUCGCUAUAGCUCCCUUCUCUGACCAAUCCUCGCGCCACCAUCCAUUCACAGAACCGCCAAUCACCAGCAGCCUCCUACUCUAUUUGUGGGAAGAAUUAUUUUUCCAGCAAAUGUCUUACAAAGCUAGCAACAUCCACAAGAUAUUUGGAAUUGAGUCCAUAUCAACACUUCCACUCGCCAAUGCAUCUGUAGGAUGCAAGAUUUAUUUGAAGAAAAGGAAAACAGAUUGGCUUAAUUCCCUUUUGAAAAACAAUUUUUUUGGGUUCUUGUGUUUAUCAUCAAAACAAUAGGAAAAAUGAAAAGAAUGUGUUCUGUAUCGACUGUGGUAUUGCCAUCAGUACAUUGUUCGUGAGCCUGACUUGAAAAACCACGUUUGUUGCAAUAUUCAGGUCUUUCACAAAUCUAUUGAAGUGAAGAAACUCUCAUGCAAGUCAUGUAUUUAUGUUAUUUUUGUUGGGAUGGUGCCAAACUUUUUUUUGUAACACUUGUUACACUUCUUGUAUUUAGUUCUUUGUAAAUAACUUUCCAAAAUUUAGUUACUAGUUUCUUUAUAUAUAGUUUCUUUGUAUAAAUAUUACCAAUCUUGUUAGAUAUGAAAGUUCAUAUUUAUGUU
Benincasa hispida (wax gourd) is the source of this 1012-nucleotide long non-coding RNA. RefSeq lists it as uncharacterized. NCBI's taxonomy places the organism in Eukaryota, Viridiplantae, Streptophyta, Magnoliopsida, Cucurbitales, Cucurbitaceae. The record is from RefSeq and is a predicted model, not a curated record.